GACGAACGCUGGCGGCGUGCUUAACACAUGCAAGUCGAACGGUGAAGGGACUGGUUUUGCUGGUCCUGGAUGAGUGGCGAACGGGUGAGUAACACGUGAGUAACCUGCCCCCUUCUUCUGGAUAACCGCAUGAAAGUGUGGCUAAUACGGGAUAUUCUGGGUCUGUCGCAUGGUGGGCCUGGGAAAGAUUGCGCCUUUUUUGGUGUUUUUGGUGGGGGAUGGGCUCGCGGCCUAUCGGCUUGUUGGUGGGGUGAUGGCCUACCAAGGCGGUGACGGGUAGCCGGCCUGAGAGGGUGGACGGUCACACUGGGACUGAGACACGGCCCAGACUCCUACGGGAGGCAGCAGUGGGGAAUAUUGCACAAUGGGCGCAAGCCUGAUGCAGCGACGCCGCGUGAGGGAUGGAGGCCUUCGGGUUGUGAACCUCUUUCGCCAGUGAAGCAGGCCUGCCUCUUUUUGUGGGUGGGUUGACGGUAGCUGGAGAAGAAGCGCCGGCUAACUACGUG
Molecule: ribosomal RNA, 506 nt
Filed under: uncultured bacterium
Lineage: Bacteria
Description: partial 16S ribosomal RNA
Rfam family: Bacterial small subunit ribosomal RNA
Source: RNAcentral